Molecule: ribosomal RNA, 222 nt
Filed under: uncultured bacterium
Lineage: Bacteria
Description: partial 16S ribosomal RNA
Rfam family: Bacterial small subunit ribosomal RNA
Source: RNAcentral
CGUAGAUAACCUGCCUGUAUGACCGGGAUAACAGUUGGAAACGACUGCUAAUACCGGAUAGGCAGAGAGGAGGCAUCUCUUCUCUGUUAAAGUUGGGACACAACGCAAACAGAUGGAUCUGCGGUGCAUUAGCUAGUUGGUGAGGUAACGGCCCACCAAGGCGAUGAUGCAUAGCCGGCCUGAGAGGGCGAACGGCCACAUUGGGACUGAGACACGGCCCAA